CCGCACGCACCCAACCCUGUUACCACUUUUUUUUAGCAUAGUAGAAGAAGAGGAAAGCAACGAAUCUCGUGACACGCCGAACUUGACCUCAUCUGACAGCGUUCCAAAAGAAUGGAUAGAGCAAAGGCUUUCACUUCGUCCAACACGCCGACGACUUUGCGGUUCACGAAGUUCCCUCUGGAUCGGGUCAUUCGCACAAAGCCACGACCUCCCCUCACCCGGACCCACGUGAUCAGCUCGCAUCAGCGUCGGACCUCCUUUUUGCUUUUGUGGCAGAAUGGGAACAUCCCCGCAGCAAGGAAAAUGAUGAGAACGGAAGUCCAAAGAUGUGGCCGAAAAGUGAGGAGAAAAGCCAGAUGGAGACGGUGCGCGACGAAGAACUGACGAGGAGCUGUGGAAACUCACAUCAUUUGCCUGUCAGAAUUAAUUAGGGCUAAAAUGGUGAGCUGCGCACACACACACACACACACACACACACACACAUUAAUUUGAGAAUCUCAUUUCAGAUCUGAUUAAUUACUUUCUCACGCUUGACGAAGGAAAUCAGCAGCAAAAGUGAGGGGAUUAACACGCGUGCGCGCGCUCGCAAGACGCGAAAGCAAUUAUUCAUUCAGUUUGGGAUCAUUUCUUAAGCGGCCACCAGCCGCGACCUUUGACCCUGCUCACGGUGCCAAAGGCGCUUCGUUCUUUUUCGCGUCGCUGUCUUUGUAUUUUAAAACCCACUUUUGACUCCGCUGCGGGAAGGGC
This is a long non-coding RNA of Hippocampus zosterae (dwarf seahorse), 747 nucleotides long. RefSeq lists it as uncharacterized. NCBI's taxonomy places the organism in Eukaryota, Metazoa, Chordata, Actinopteri, Syngnathiformes, Syngnathidae. The transcript is spliced from 3 exons. The record is from RefSeq and is a predicted model, not a curated record.